Long non-coding RNA from Triplophysa rosa, 1875 nucleotides. RefSeq lists it as uncharacterized. NCBI's taxonomy places the organism in Eukaryota, Metazoa, Chordata, Actinopteri, Cypriniformes, Nemacheilidae. The transcript has 3 exons. The record is from RefSeq and is a predicted model, not a curated record.
ACAAACACAAAUAUUGUAGUUUGAUCCCAGCAUGACAAAGCUUUCCUAUUUUUACUUGCAAACGGAGAACAAGUAGCUUUAUAUGCAACAUCUGGAAGACAUUCGCACAUGCAAAGGGAGAAUGUUUGCCAUGUGUUUCCUGCAAUGCUGCCAUAUGUUUGACCAUAUGUUAACUAAGCAACAUUGUUAUGUUUGCAUGAUUAGUUUAAGUCUGUAGAUGAAAUCAAUUUUUCACACGAAGGACGGUUACAUAAGACUUAACAUAUUUAGAAAUCACUUUGCUUUCUUGCACUACUCUCAGUAUAUUGGACACUGAACACGCAGUAUUGUUGAAUUGUGGCAGCUGGGUAUGAUCUAUGCCCAAUUAACUCUUUUUCAAAGUACAAAUGAAGCGAAAUGAGUUUUUAGGCAGUUCCACAUGUACAGAGCCACAAUAUCCUGAAGCAAUAUGAAAGUCAACAAGCAUCUGGAGACAAAGAUAACCAGUCUCAGUUGAUGAAGAGCUUAUGCAAUCAUGUAAUAACACACAGAGCCGUCAGUGAAUGUGCUACGAGGAUAUUCGUGUUACAAAGGUAGAUAGAACUUGUGUUGAUGUUCUUCUUGUUUUUGUCAUGUGACUUUCAGAGAGCCUGUCAGACAAUGCGUCAGCAUUUAGCAGUAGAGCCAAGCAGCUCCAUAGAAGGAUGUGGUGGAGAGACAUGAAGAUGAAAAUGAUUGUGGCAUUGGUUGUGGUCAUCCUUCUGCUUAUUAUAAUCAUUCCUGUGAUCUUGCGGUAUCGCUAGUGUCUGGCAGGGAGGUUAGAGGCGCAAUGUUCUCUUCCUCCCACCUCUUCUGCAUCUUUCUGCUGUCAUUCCUCCGAGCCAGAGGGGGGCGCUGCACAGAGUUGGGCUGCCCACUGUGUUUGCCUGUUUGGGCAGGGUCUGGAAACAUAACAAACUGGGGCAGAGUUUCAUUUGUGUGUGUGUGUGUGUGUGUGUGUGUGUGUGUGUGUGUGUGUGUGUGUGUGUGUGUGUGUGUGUGUGUGUGUGUGUGUGUGUGUGACACAAAUUUUUUAUCACGACAAUGGCACAACACUGCUGCAGACCUGUCUCUUGUAGGCAUACAUACACAAAACUACUGUAAUUAAAAGUAAACGAAGGUCAUUUUUGUUGUAUAUGCAUUCGGUAACAUGAAGACAAACUUACAGCUCUGCAUUCUUUUUUCGUUUUUAUUGCAAAGUCGUUUUAGUUCAUUAAAAGUGUACACAACCACACAUACACGUUCCUUGGAAUACGUUCUUCUCAGGAGGGUGGGGGCAAUAAGAAAAAAUGGGUAAGGCUGAACAGGAAAUGACAUGUGACGAUGUCACUGUGUGUGUUUAAAUUAGAUGGACUACUAUAACUACUCUGAAAGGCAAGUAAUGGAUUUCUGUAAUGUUUGCUGCUAUUGCCAUUUUUAAGUUUAAUAAUCACAGUUAAUUGUGUUGAGUCGUUAUUAUUUGUUAUUUGCUUUUUCUUCAUGCUUGUAAAUGGUUUAUGUACAGAUUGUAAUACUUUUGUUCACUGGUGUCAUUUUAGCAGCGUGUUGAUUGGUCAGUGAUGUGAUGGAUGUGUGUGAUGAUGAUUUGAUUGAGACACACCUGUGAACUUGCUUCAGGACAUUUAAUUUGACUGACUAUUCUAUGUCAUUUUUAAUUUAUUGGUAAAUAUCCAUUCCCAUGACAUUGGCUUUGUGCUGGAGGACUGAAUUACUUAUACAUUUGAAAUAAAGUGAUUUUAAAUGGCAUUUGAUCUGAUUUAUUGUGAAAAACGUCAGAAGUGGUGCAUUUAAAUGUAAUGCCAGUUUAUACUGUGAAAUAAAAUGUUAUCUUAAAGGGAUGCUUCACCCAAAAACGAA